This 101-nucleotide ribosomal RNA is filed under the name Saimiri boliviensis boliviensis (Bolivian squirrel monkey). The record is from RNAcentral. Lineage: Eukaryota; Metazoa; Chordata; Mammalia; Primates; Cebidae.
AUAUAAAGCCAUACCAGCCUGAAAGCGCCCAAUCCUGUUUGGUCUCUGAAGUUAGGCAGGGUCUGGCUUCUACAGUACAUACACCACAGGAACUUUGUGAA